RNAcentral lists this microRNA precursor (59 nucleotides) under Strongyloides ratti. RNAcentral describes it as "microRNA str-mir-8387 precursor". The record is from miRBase by way of RNAcentral. Lineage: Eukaryota; Metazoa; Nematoda; Chromadorea; Rhabditida; Strongyloididae.
AAAUUUCAUGAUUCGGUAGGAACUGAAUAGAAAAUGUUUCACCGAAGUCAUGAAGUUUC